This 650-nucleotide ribosomal RNA is filed under the name bacterium a5(2011). RNAcentral describes it as "SSU rRNA". It matches the Rfam family "Bacterial small subunit ribosomal RNA", at positions 410 to 1072 of the family's 1533-position model. The record is from RNAcentral.
GACGGCCUUCGGGUUGUAAACCUCUUUUAGUAGGGAAGAAGCGAAAGUGACGGUACCUGCAGAAAAAGCACCGGCUAACUACGUGCCAGCAGCCGCGGUAAUACGUAGGGUGCAAGCGUUGUCCGGAAUUAUUGGGCGUAAAGAGCUCGUAGGCGGUUUGUCGCGUCUGCUGUGAAAUCCGGAGGCUCAACCUCCGGCCUGCAGUGGGUACGGGCAGACUAGAGUGCGGUAGGGGAGAUUGGAAUUCCUGGUGUAGCGGUGGAAUGCGCAGAUAUCAGGAGGAACACCAAUGGCGAAGGCAGAUCUCUGGGCCGUAACUGACGCUGAGGAGCGAAAGCAUGGGGAGCGAACAGGAUUAGAUACCCUGGUAGUCCAUGCCGUAAACGUUGGGAACUAGGCGUAGGGUCCAUUCCACGGAUUCUGUGCCGCAGCUAACGCAUUAAGUUCCCCGCCUGGGGAGUACGGCCGCAAGGCUAAAACUCAAAGGAAUUGACGGGGGCCCGCACAAGCGGCGGAGCAUGCGGAUUAAUUCGAUGCAACGCGAAGAACCUUACCAAGGCUUGACAUAUACCGGAAAAAGUUCAGAAAUGUUCUCCCCGCAAGGUCGGUAUACAGGUGGUGCAUGGUUGUCGUCAGCUCGUGUCGUGAGA